UGGGGAAUUUUGGACAAUGGGGGAAACCCUGAUCUAGCCAUCCCGCGUGUGCGAUGAAGGCAUUCGGGUUGUAAAGCACUUUUGGCAGGAAAGAAACGUCAUGGGUUAAUACCCCGUGAAACUGACGGUACCUGCAGAAUAAGCACCGGCUAACUACGUGCCAGCAGCCGCGGUAAUACGUAGGGUGCAAGCGUUAAUCGGAAUUACUGGGCGUAAAGCGUGCGCAGGCGGUCCGGAAAGAAAGAUGUGAAAUCCCAGAGCUCAACUUUGGAACUGCAUUUUUAACUACCGAGCUAGAGUGUGUCAGAGGGAGGUGGAAUUCCGCGUGUAGCAGUGAAAUGCGUAGAUAUGCGAAGGAACACCGAUGGCGAAGGCAGCCUCCUGGGAUAACACUGACGAUCAUGCACGAAAGCGUGGGGAGCAAACAGG
Molecule: ribosomal RNA, 429 nt
Filed under: Acidobacteriota bacterium
Lineage: Bacteria; Pseudomonadati; Acidobacteriota
Description: Acidobacteria bacterium partial 16S ribosomal RNA
Rfam family: Bacterial small subunit ribosomal RNA
Source: RNAcentral